GAUGGUAGCUGUGGGCGCAUUUGGGCUAUGUGUUGGAACCCUGGGUAUUGUUGGAGGUCCCUCUUCAUGCUCCUGGUAAUGCGGGCUUUCCUGUUCUGUAGAUGGCUCUGUCCGAUGGGACAGCUUCAGCAUUGUCCGAGUUACUGCCCUGGCACUGAUCGUUUUCCUAGUUUCCGCUCUUUCGCUAGGUCCUUUCCUAGCCUUGAACCAGCUGCCACAAGUCUUCUCCCGACUCUUUCCUUUCAAGAGGGGCCUUUGCCAUGCCUACUGGGCUCCAAACUUCUGGGCCUUGUACAGUGCUUUGGACAAAGCACUGUGUGUAACUGGUUUGGAACUGAAGCUUCUUGAUCCCAGCCAGAUCCCCAGGGCCUCAAUGACAAGUGGUUUGGUCCAGCAGUCCCAGCACACUGUCCUCCCCUCAGUCUCCCCCUCGGCAACCCUCAUCUGCACACUGAUAGCCAUAUUGGGCCCAGAGGCUUUCUCCGAUGCUUGGUUCUUUGUGCCUUAAGUUCCUUCAUGUUUGGGUGGCAUGUCCAUGAAAAAGCCAUACUCCUUGCGAUUCUCCCAAUGAGCCUACUGGCUGUGGAAAAAGCAGGAGAUGCGACAAUUUUUCUGAUUCUGACGACAACCGGACACUAUUCCCUCUUCCCUCUGCUCUUCACUGCACCAGAACUCCCCAUUAAAAUCUUGCUCAUGUCCCUGUUCACUGUGUACAGUAUCUCCUCGCUGAGGACGCUGU
RNAcentral lists this long non-coding RNA (739 nucleotides) under Rattus norvegicus (Norway rat). Its description in RNAcentral is "long non-coding RNA NONRATT000969". The record is from RNAcentral. Lineage: Eukaryota; Metazoa; Chordata; Mammalia; Rodentia; Muridae.